GUCUACGGCCACGCCACCCUGAACAAGCCCAAUCCUGUCUGAUCUCAGAAGCCAAGCAGGGUCGGGCCUGGUUAGUACUUGGAUGGGAGACCACCUAGGAAGACCAGGUGCUGUAGGCA
This 119-nucleotide ribosomal RNA is filed under the name Pteropus alecto (black flying fox). The record is from RNAcentral. Lineage: Eukaryota; Metazoa; Chordata; Mammalia; Chiroptera; Pteropodidae.